CGCUUCGUAGCUCAGUGUGAAGAGCACUCGGCUGAUAACCGGGAGGUCAGUGGUUCGAAUCCACUCGAAGCGACCA
Molecule: transfer RNA, 76 nt
Filed under: Gammaproteobacteria bacterium
Lineage: Bacteria; Pseudomonadati; Pseudomonadota; Gammaproteobacteria
Description: tRNA-Ile
Rfam family: tRNA
About the family: Transfer RNA (tRNA) molecules are approximately 80 nucleotides in length. Their secondary structure includes four short double-helical elements and three loops (D, anti-codon, and T loops). Further hydrogen bonds mediate the characteristic L-shaped molecular structure. tRNAs have two regions of fundamental functional importance: the anti-codon, which is responsible for specific mRNA codon recognition, and the 3' end, to which the tRNAs corresponding amino acid is attached (by aminoacyl-tRNA synthetases). tRNAs cope with the degeneracy of the genetic code in two manners: having more than one tRNA (with a specific anti-codon) for a particular amino acid; and 'wobble' base-pairing, i.e. permitting non-standard base-pairing at the 3rd anti-codon position.
Source: RNAcentral